Molecule: ribosomal RNA, 200 nt
Filed under: uncultured bacterium
Lineage: Bacteria
Description: partial 16S ribosomal RNA
Rfam family: Bacterial small subunit ribosomal RNA
Source: RNAcentral
AGAGUUUGAUCCUGGCUCAGGAUAAACGCUGGCGGCGUGCCUAACACAUGCAAGUCGAACGCCCUUUUUCGCAAGGAGGAGGGAGUGGCGGACGGGUGAGUAACACGUGGGUGACCUAGCUUCUGGUGAGGAAUACCGGCGAGAAAUCGUCGACAAGACCGCAUGAGCUCGUCUGGCAGACAGGCGAGGAAAGCUUCUUU